This 1434-nucleotide ribosomal RNA is filed under the name uncultured organism. Its description in RNAcentral is "16S ribosomal RNA". It matches the Rfam family "Bacterial small subunit ribosomal RNA". The record is from RNAcentral.
CAGGCUUAACACAUGCAAGUCGAGGGGCAGCAUGGUCUUAGCUUGCUAAGGCCGAUGGCGACCGGCGCACGGGUGAGUAACACGUAUCCAACCUGCCGUCUACUCUUGGACAGCCUUCUGAAAGGAAGAUUAAUACAAGAUGGCAUCAUGAGUCCGCAUGUUCACAUGAUUAAAGGUAUUCCGGUAGACGAUGGGGAUGCGUUCCAUUAGAUAGUAGGCGGGGUAACGGCCCACCUAGUCUUCGAUGGAUAGGGGUUCUGAGAGGAAGGUCCCCCACAUUGGAACUGAGACACGGUCCAAACUCCUACGGGAGGCAGCAGUGAGGAAUAUUGGUCAAUGGGCGAGAGCCUGAACCAGCCAAGUAGUGUGAAGGAUGACUGCCCUAUGGGUUGUAAACUUCUUUUAUAAAGGAAUAAAGUCGGGUAUGGAUACCCGUUUGCAUGUACUUUAUGAAUAAGGAUCGGCUAACUCCGUGCCAGCAGCCGCGGUAAUACGGAGGAUCCGAGCGUUAUCCGGAUUUAUUGGGUUUAAAGGGAGCGUAGAUGGAUGUUUAAGUCAGUUGUGAAAGUUUGCGGCUCAACCGUAAAAUUGCGGUUGAUACUGGAUAUCUUGAGUGCAGUUGAGGCAGGCGGAAUUCGUGGUGUAGCGGUGAAAUGCUUAGAUAUCACGAAGAACUCCGAUUGCGAAGGCAGCCUGCUAAGCUGCAACUGACAUUGAGGCUCGAAAGUGUGGGUAUCAAACAGGAUUAGAUACCCUGGUAGUCCACACGGUAAACGAUGAAUACUCGCUGUUUGCGAUAUACAGCAAGCGGCCAAGCGAAAGCGUUAAGUAUUCCACCUGGGGAGUACGCCGGCAACGGUGAAACUCAAAGGAAUUGACGGGGGCCCGCACAAGCGGAGGAACAUGUGGUUUAAUUCGAUGAUACGCGAGGAACCUUACCCGGGCUUAAAUUGCAGAUGAAUUACGGCGAAAGCCGUAAGCCGCAAGGCAUCUGCGAAGGUGCUGCAUGGUUGUCGUCAGCUCGUGCCGUGAGGUGUCGGCUUAAGUGCCAUAACGAGCGCAACCCUUGUUGUCAGUUACUAACAGGUUCUGCUGAGGACUCUGACAAGACUGCCAUCGUAAGAUGUGAGGAAGGUGGGGAUGACGUCAAAUCAGCACGGCCCUUACGUCCGGGGCUACACACGUGUUACAAUGGGGGGUACAGAGGGCCGCUACCACGCGAGUGGAUGCCAAUCCCCAAAACCUCUCUCAGUUCGGACUGGAGUCUGCAACCCGACUCCACGAAGCUGGAUUCGCUAGUAAUCGCGCAUCGGCCACGGCGCGGUGAAUACGUUCCCGGGCCUUGUACACACCGCCCGUCAAGCCAUGGGAGCCGGGGGUACCUGAAGUGCGUAACCGCGAGGAGCGCCCUAGGGUAAAACUGGUGACUGGGGC